CCUACGGGGGGCAGCAGUAGGGAAUUUUCGUCAAUGGGCGCAAGCCUGAACGAGCGAUGCCGCGUGAGUGAAGAAGGCCUUCGGGUCGUAAAGCUCUGUUGCGGGGGAAAAAAGGCAGCAUCAGGAAAUGGGUGCUGACUGAUGGUGCCCCGCCAGAAAGUCACGGCUAACUACGUGCCAGCAGCCGCGGUAAUACGGAGGUGGCGAGCGUUAUCCGGAAUGAUUGGGCGUAAAGGGUGCGCAGGCGGUCCUGCAAGUCUGGAGUGAAACGCAUGAGCUCAACUUAUACAUGGCUUUGGAAACUGGAGGACUGGAGAGCAGGAGAGGGCGGUGGAACUCCAGGUGUAGCGGUAAAAUGCGUAGAUAUAUGGAAGAACACCAGUGGCGAAGGCGGCCUGCUGGACAUUAACUGACGCUGAGGCGCGAAAGCGUGGGGAGCAAACAGGAUUAGAUACCCCGGUAGUC
This 465-nucleotide ribosomal RNA is filed under the name uncultured bacterium. RNAcentral describes it as "partial 16S ribosomal RNA". It matches the Rfam family "Bacterial small subunit ribosomal RNA", at positions 338 to 795 of the family's 1533-position model. The record is from RNAcentral.